GUGUCCACUCCCGUACAUAUACCCAAAAUGAAACAGUACAAAGAAGAUUAUCAUGGGACCUGCGCAAGGAUGACACGAAAAUUUGUGAAGCAUCCUAAGUUUUU
This is a non-coding RNA of Necator americanus (New World hookworm), 104 nucleotides long. NCBI's taxonomy places the organism in Eukaryota, Metazoa, Nematoda, Chromadorea, Rhabditida, Ancylostomatidae. The record is from Rfam.